AAAAAGGCAACCAACCUGAAAUUGUGUCUGCACUAAGCUUGGCAUCAAUAUGGUGACCUCCUGGAAGUGGAGUACCACCAGGAUGCCUAAGGAGGGGUGAACUGACCUAGGUUGGAAAGGGAGCAGGUCAAAACUCCUGUGCUGAUCAGUAGUGGAAUCACUACACUGUUCCUUUUU
Unclassified non-coding RNA from Callithrix jacchus (white-tufted-ear marmoset), 177 nucleotides. It matches the Rfam family "Metazoan signal recognition particle RNA". From Rfam's summary of the family: The signal recognition particle (SRP) is a universally conserved ribonucleoprotein. It is involved in the co-translational targeting of proteins to membranes. NCBI's taxonomy places the organism in Eukaryota, Metazoa, Chordata, Mammalia, Primates, Cebidae. The record is from Ensembl.